CCUACGGGCGGCAGCAGUGGGGAAUAUUGCACAAUGGGGGAAACCCUGAUGCAGCGAUGCCGCGUGGAGGAAGAAGGUUUUCGGAUUGUAAACUCCUUUUAUCAGGGACGAUAAUGACGGUACCUGAAGAAAAAGCUCCGGCUAACUACGUGCCAGCAGCCGCGGUAAUACGUAGGGAGCGAGCGUUAUCCGGAUUUAUUGGGUUUAAAGGGAGCGUAGGCCGGUCUUUAAGCGUGCCGUGAAAUUUUGUGGCUCAACCAUGAGAGUGCGGCGCGAACUGGAGACCUUGAGUGCGCGGAAGGCAGGCGGAAUUCGUGGUGUAGCGGUGAAAUGCUUAGAUAUCACGAAGAACCCCGAUUGCGAAGGCAGCCUGCCGCAGCGUUACUGACGCUGAAGCUCGAAAGCGCGGGUAUCGAACAGGAUUAGAUACCCUUGUAGUC
Molecule: ribosomal RNA, 440 nt
Filed under: uncultured bacterium
Lineage: Bacteria
Description: partial 16S ribosomal RNA
Rfam family: Bacterial small subunit ribosomal RNA
Source: RNAcentral